RNAcentral lists this transfer RNA (63 nucleotides) under Mileewa albovittata. Its description in RNAcentral is "tRNA-Ile". The record is from RNAcentral. Lineage: Eukaryota; Metazoa; Arthropoda; Insecta; Hemiptera; Cicadellidae.
AAUAAGAUGCCUGAUUAAAAGGAUUAUUUUGAUAGAAUAAAUUAUGUAUUUUUACUCUUAUUG